UGGGGAAUAUUGGACAAUGGGCGAAAGCCUGAUCCAGCCAUGCCGCGUGUGUGAAGAAGGUCUUCGGAUUGUAAAGCACUUUAAGUUGGGAGGAAGGGUUGUAGAUUAAUACUCUGCAAUUUUGACGUUACCGACAGAAUAAGCACCGGCUAACUCUGUGCCAGCAGCCGCGGUAAUACAGAGGGUGCAAGCGUUAAUCGGAAUUACUGGGCGUAAAGCGCGCGUAGGUGGUUAGUUAAGUUGGAUGUGAAAUCCCCGGGCUCAACCUGGGAACUGCAUUCAAAACUGACUGACUAGAGUAUGGUAGAGGGUGGUGGAAUUUCCUGUGUAGCGGUGAAAUGCGUAGAUAUAGGAAGGAACACCAGUGGCGAAGGCGACCACCUGGACUGAUACUGACACUGAGGUGCGAAAGCGUGGGGAGCAAACAGGAUUAGAUACCCGAGUAGUCCCUGAGCGGGCUGGCAAGGCGCAU
Molecule: ribosomal RNA, 472 nt
Filed under: uncultured bacterium
Lineage: Bacteria
Description: bacterial SSU rRNA
Rfam family: Bacterial small subunit ribosomal RNA
Source: RNAcentral